Molecule: microRNA precursor, 186 nt
Filed under: Oryza rufipogon (brownbeard rice)
Lineage: Eukaryota; Viridiplantae; Streptophyta; Magnoliopsida; Poales; Poaceae
Description: MIR812 microRNA precursor family
Rfam family: MIR812 microRNA precursor family
Source: Rfam by way of RNAcentral
AAAAAAACAAACACUGAGUUUUCGUGUUUAACGUUUGACCGUCCGUCUUAUAUGAAAUUUUUUAUAAUUAGUAUUUUCAUUGUUGUUAGAUGAUAAAAUAUGAUUAAUACUUUAUGCAUAACUUAUCUUUUUAAUUUUUUUUAUAUAAGAUGGACAGUCAAACGUUGGACACGAAAAUCUAGAGUU